This is a small nucleolar RNA of Drosophila melanogaster (fruit fly), 91 nucleotides long. NCBI's taxonomy places the organism in Eukaryota, Metazoa, Arthropoda, Insecta, Diptera, Drosophilidae. The record is from Ensembl.
CAUACUCUGAUGAUAAAAUCAUGACGGUCUUCAUAAAACAAAUUGCUGAAAGAACUUGACUCUUUUUACUAAAUGUAAAAAUACUGAAACU